Molecule: long non-coding RNA, 367 nt
Filed under: Ananas comosus (pineapple)
Lineage: Eukaryota; Viridiplantae; Streptophyta; Magnoliopsida; Poales; Bromeliaceae
Description: long non-coding RNA (ACOM_LNC005337)
Source: RNAcentral
UACACAAUUCCUCCUUCACCCCUCUUCCUAUUCCCUAAUGCUUCGCCUUCCCACCGCAUAUCUACCCGAUGCUUCGUCUUCCCAUCCGCCCACUUUCUAAUUAUUUAUAUCUAUAUUUAUACCUAUACAUUAUUUCUCAUAGAGUUUGCCAUGUUGCAAUUUCUCCUUCACCCCUCUUCCCAUUCCCUAAUGCUUCGCCUUCCCACCACAUCUCUGCCCGAUGCUUCGUCUUCCCAUCCACCCACUUUCUAAUUAAUGUCUUUAUAUGAUCCAUUUUUAUCGAAACCAAUUACUUUAUAAAAGAAAGUAAAAUAAGAUCUCUUCAUACUCUUUUUUAUCAUUUUUUUUCUUUUUUUUUAUGCACAAG